RNAcentral lists this ribosomal RNA (745 nucleotides) under Genatropis sp. M360. Its description in RNAcentral is "eukaryotic LSU rRNA". It matches the Rfam family "Eukaryotic large subunit ribosomal RNA", at positions 492 to 916 of the family's 3401-position model. The record is from RNAcentral. Lineage: Eukaryota; Metazoa; Arthropoda; Insecta; Hymenoptera; Scelionidae.
CCCGAAAGAUCGAAUGGGGAGAUUCAACGUCAGCGGGAUCUGUUUCCUUGUGGUUUGCGAUGUUUGACGCGGAUAAUUAAGUAUUCGUAGAUUACACGCGGCCAUUUGGUUUCGAUUACGUCGGCGUGCACUUCUCCUCUAGUAGAACGUCGCGACCCGCUGGGUGUCGGUUUAAGGGCCAUGGUUGUAGACUGUUUCGUCGCUUCGGCGUAUGUUAACAGACGCUUUGGACUCCCGACCGGCUGCUCGGCGGUAUGCUUAUGGUAUCGAGCCGCACUUUGAAUGCGUUCAGACUCGUUGCAAGCCCAAUCAUCUUUUCCUGGAGGUGCGGACCUGGUGCCGUCCCUGGGGGUGGUUAGCUGUUGGCGUACGAUGUUCUCGAACUGGCUUAACUUUGAAUAACGAUACCGGUCGGCGACGCUUUUGCUUUGGGUACUUUCAGGACCCGUCUUGAAACACGGACCAAGGAGUCUAACAUGUGCGCAAGUCAUUGGGAUAAUAAAACCUAAAGGCGUAUUGAAAGAGAAGAUCGGCCUUGCGUCGAUUGAGGGAAGAUGGGUAACGUUUAGAUGUUGCCCCGCAUUCCCGGGGCGUCUCGUUGUCAUUGCGACUUGAGGCGCACCCAGAGCGUACACGUUGGGGACCCGAAAGAUGGUGAACUAUGCCUGGUCAGGACGAAAUCAGGGGAAACCCUGAUGGAGGUCCGUAGCGAUUCUGACGUGCAAAUCGAUCGUCGGAACUGGGU